Molecule: long non-coding RNA, 1221 nt
Filed under: Numida meleagris (helmeted guineafowl)
Lineage: Eukaryota; Metazoa; Chordata; Aves; Galliformes; Numididae
Description: lncRNA (ENSNMEG00000001389.1)
Source: RNAcentral
AGGAAGACAGGACGGACAGAACGGUCAGGACAGAUGGACAGAACGGACAGACAGAGUCAGACAGGAUGGACAAACAGGACGGACAGACAGAGUCAAGACAGGACGGACAGAAAGGACAGGACGGGCGGGAUGGGCACGACAGAUAGGCAGGACAGGCAGACAGGAUGGACAGAACGGUCAGGACAGACGGACAGGACAGGCAGACAGUCAGACAAGACAGACAGGACGGACAGGAUGGACAGAGUCAAGACAGGACGGACAGAAGGGACAGGACAGAUGGGAUGGACAGGUCAGCCAAACAGGACAGACGGACAAGACAGGACGGACAGGAUGGACAGGACAGACGGACAGAGUCAGGACAGACAGAGGGACAGACAGGACAGACAGAGAGACAAGACAGGACGGACAGAGAGACAAGACAGGACAGGACAGACAGAGACAAGACAGAUGGGAUGGACAGGACAGACGGACAGAGUCAGGACAGACAGAGGGACAGACAGGACAGGAUGGACAGACAGACAAGACAGGACGGACAGAGGAACGGACAGGACAGACAGACAAGAUGGACAGACAGAGAGGCAAGACAGGACGGACAGACAGGACAGGACAGACAGACAGGAUGGACAGAGAGACAAGACAGGACGGACAGAGGAACGGACAGGACAGACAGACAAGAUGGACAGACAGAGAGACAAGACAGGAUGGACAGAGGAACGGACAGCACAGACAGACAGGAUGGACAGACAGACGAGACAGGACGGACAGAGGAACGGACAGGUCAGGCAGACAGGAUGGACAGACAGAGAGACAAGACAGGACGGACAGGACAGACAGACAGGAUGGACAGAGGAACGGACAGGACAGACAGACAGGACCGCGGCCGGGGUCCUCCACGCCCCCCUCCCCCCCCCGAAGUUGCUUCCUUUAAUGGAUGGAGCGGGGAUCAAGGGGCUGCUGCCCAUUGGGCUCGUUAGGCGUAACGAGCUCGUUAGCAGCAGGAUGUGGGGCUCUGGGCUCUCCUCCAUCAUCAGCCAUGGGGUGCAGCCCCUUCCAAUGGAACCAGGCCCAGGGGGUGACCCCAGGUGGGCACACAGCUGGGAGGAACAGGGGGCUGGGACCCCCAGUGUAAAGUCGUUAAGUGUAACGAGCUCAUUAACAGCACCGUAUGGGGCUCUGAGCUUCCCUCCAUCAUCAGCCAUGGGGUCCAGCCCCUUCCAAUAG